Molecule: ribosomal RNA, 504 nt
Filed under: uncultured bacterium
Lineage: Bacteria
Description: bacterial SSU rRNA
Rfam family: Bacterial small subunit ribosomal RNA
Source: RNAcentral
AGAGUUUGAUCCUGGCUCAGGAUGAACGCUAGCGGCAGGCUUAAUACAUGCAAGUCGAACGGGAUCCGAGGUAGCAAUACUUUGGUGAGAGUGGCGCACGGGUGCGUAACGCGUAUGCAACCUACCUUUAACAGGGGAAUAGCCCCGAGAAAUCGGGAUUAAUACUCCGUAACAUUGCGGGAUGGCAUCAUUCUGCAAUUAAAGAUUUAUCGGUUAAAGAUGGGCAUGCGUGACAUUAGCUUGUUGGUGAGGUAACGGCUCACCAAGGCAACGAUGUCUAGGGGUCCUGAGAGGGUUAUCCCCCACACUGGUACUGAGACACGGACCAGACUCCUACGGGAGGCAGCAGUAAGGAAUAUUGGUCAAUGGGCGCAAGCCUGAACCAGCCAUGCCGCGUGCAGGAAGACGGCCCUAUGGGUUGUAAACUGCUUUUGUCAGGGAAUAAACCUGUCUACGUGUAGACAGCUGAAGGUACCUGAAGAAUAAGCAUCGGCUAACUCCGUG